RNAcentral lists this ribosomal RNA (795 nucleotides) under Knoellia locipacati. RNAcentral describes it as "bacterial SSU rRNA". It matches the Rfam family "Bacterial small subunit ribosomal RNA", at positions 79 to 887 of the family's 1533-position model. The record is from RNAcentral. Lineage: Bacteria; Bacillati; Actinomycetota; Actinomycetes; Micrococcales; Intrasporangiaceae.
GCUUCUGGGUGAGCAGUGGCGAACGGGUGAGUAACACGUGAGUAACCUGCCCCUGACUCUGGAAUAAGCGCUGGAAACGGCGUCUAAUACCGGAUACGAGACGCAACCGCAUGGUUAGUGUCUGGAAAGUUUUUCGGUCUGGGAUGGACUCGCGGCCUAUCAGCUUGUUGGUGAGGUAAUGGCUCACCAAGGCAGUGACGGGUAGCCGGCCUGAGAGGGCGAUCGGCCACACUGGGACUGAGACACGGCCCAGACUCCUACGGGAGGCAGCAGUGGGGAAUAUUGCACAAUGGGCGAAAGCCUGAUGCAGCGACGCCGCGUGAGGGAUGACGGCCUUCGGGUUGUAAACCUCUUUCAGCAGGGAAGAAGCGCAAGUGACGGUACCUGCAGAAGAAGCACCGGCUAACUACGUGCCAGCAGCCGCGGUAAUACGUAGGGUGCGAGCGUUGUCCGGAAUUAUUGGGCGUAAAGAGCUUGUAGGCGGUUUGUCGCGUCUGCUGUGAAAAUCCGGGGCUCAACCCCGGACUUGCAGUGGGUACGGGCAGACUAGAGUGUGGUAGGGGAGACUGGAAUUCCUGGUGUAGCGGUGAAAUGCGCAGAUAUCAGGAGGAACACCGAUGGCGAAGGCAGGUCUCUGGGCCAUUACUGACGCUGAGAAGCGAAAGCAUGGGGAGCGAACAGGAUUAGAUACCCUGGUAGUCCAUGCCGUAAACGUUGGGAACUAGGUGUGGGUCUCAUUCCACGAGGUCCGUGCCGCAGCUAACGCAUUAAGUUCCCCGCCUGGGGAGUACGGCC